UACGUAGGGUGCGAGCGUUUAAUCGGAAUUACUGGGCGUAAAGCGUGCGCAGGCGGUUUUGUAAGCCAGAUGUGAAAUCCCCGGGCUUAACCUGGGAAUGGCAUUUGGGACUGCAAGGCUGGAGUUUGGCAGAGGAGACUGGAAUUCCUGGUGUAGCAGUGAAAUGCGUAGAGAUCCGGAAGAACACCGGAGGCGAAGGCGGCUUGCUGGGCGUGAUCUGACGCUGAGGCGCGACAGCGUGGGGAGCAAACAGG
Molecule: ribosomal RNA, 254 nt
Filed under: uncultured bacterium
Lineage: Bacteria
Description: partial 16S ribosomal RNA
Rfam family: Bacterial small subunit ribosomal RNA
Source: RNAcentral